RNAcentral lists this ribosomal RNA (253 nucleotides) under uncultured bacterium. RNAcentral describes it as "partial 16S ribosomal RNA". It matches the Rfam family "Bacterial small subunit ribosomal RNA", at positions 524 to 776 of the family's 1533-position model. The record is from RNAcentral.
UACGGAGGGUGCAAGCGUUAUCCGGAUUCACUGGGUUUAAAGGGUGCGUAGGUGGGUUGGUAAGUCAGUGGUGAAAUCUCCAGGCUUAACUUGGAAACUGCCAUUGAUACUAUCAAUCUUGAAUACCGUGGAGGUCAGCGGAAUAUGUCAUGUAGCGGAUGAAAUGCUUAGAUAUGACAUAGAACACCAAUUGCGAAGGCAGCUGGCUACACGAAUAUUGACACUGAUGCACGAAAGCGUGGGAUCAAACAGG